GCCGCGGGCUCCGGACUUCGACAAUCCCCGAGUGCGAUCCCAGGUCAGGCGGGGCUACCCGCCGAGUUUAAGCAUAUCAAUAAGC
RNAcentral lists this ribosomal RNA (85 nucleotides) under Henriettea succosa. RNAcentral describes it as "partial 26S ribosomal RNA". Lineage: Eukaryota; Viridiplantae; Streptophyta; Magnoliopsida; Myrtales; Melastomataceae. The record is from RNAcentral.